RNAcentral lists this ribosomal RNA (2618 nucleotides) under Triticum aestivum (bread wheat). RNAcentral describes it as "partial small subunit ribosomal RNA". Lineage: Eukaryota; Viridiplantae; Streptophyta; Magnoliopsida; Poales; Poaceae. The record is from RNAcentral.
CUCCCCUAACCCUAGCCCCCUCCCCCGCCGCCCACUUCCCCGGCGUCGUCGCCAUCGUCCACCACCACCUCCACCGCGCCCCAACCCUAUCCCCGUUGCUUCCGCCCCCACCUUCUCCCAAUCCCCUCACCUUCUCUCCCGUGGCCGGUGGAUUCGCCCCUCGCGGGAUCGAUUCCUCCGAGCCGACAGGGUCUUCAGGGCCGGACGGGAGCGGCGCGUCCCCCAUCGGCGCGUUGGUGAGCGCGGCGGCGGCCGUGGCCGAGCUCGAGCCGGCCCUUCUCCGCGCCGGCGACGCGUGCAGCAAAGAAUGGAAGGCGUGCGUUCUGUCGGCAUCUGAUCCAGACGACCUCACGCCUCCGCGCCCGUCCUCCUUCCCCGUUGCCCCUCCUCUCGAGCCACCGGCUGGCGCUCUCCCUUCGCCGGAAGAGCCUCCGACUCCUCCUCCGGAAGCUAUUUGUGGCCCAGUUGUUCGGAGAUGGAUCUACCGGCUCGAUCGAGGAGCGGCGGGGGUAGAAGUGCAAGGCGAGGAGUGCUUGAUGCGAAGAGCUCAUAACAGCCACGCGUCCGCCUUUACUGGCGAGCGCAUCAAGUUCCCAACCGGACACUAGGUUUUGAAUCUUAAAUGAUGGCUGCUUGAUAAUUUGUCCAAGUUGAGAUCCACCACCGACGAUAAGAGUUUGCUACCCUGCUCCUAUGAAGGUAGCCGAAGGCCUGCACCUCCCACCGUUCCAAUUUUUUCGGUUGAAUCAAGUGUCAAUUAAUGAGAUGGAUGUGUUGUUCAUGCUCUUUGAGAAGGCCAGCCGCUCCAGACGACGAUUUUGUAGGAUACACGCUGAAUGCGUCGCUCGCCUGUCACUCCUUCGCUAGGAGGGGCGCAACAUGCUACUCGCUCCGAUGCUCCAGGUUGAAGCGGCGAUGGCGGUUGUAGCGUGACUGACGGCAUCAGCAACAAGCAGUUACUCAUCUUUGCAUCAGCAACAGAUGGAUUAUGGAAUUGUUUCAAUCUGGAUAAUUCGCUUGGAAAAAAUUGUCACGUACACUACCAGAAGGGUGAGAGUGAAUUUCAAUAGGCUUAUGACAAAGGAAUGCCCAAAUCAAAGUUCUGGGAGCCUACAUAUGAAGAUUGCUUAAAUAUGAUUGAUGUACCGCAGGUGAAGGCCUUGCGUUGGGACUCUGUGCCUCCUAAACUAAGAACAAAUGAACUUGCCUUUAGGCUUUUCGCACUGCACUAUGCAUCCAGGUCCAACCCAAUGGUUAGGACGGCGGUUCUUGCAUAGCAUACAUGGAGAUGGUACAUGUGGGGAAGAAAUAUAAGAAACUCAUGCUCAUCAGCGAGGGCAGGGGUCAUAUAGUCUUCCACUCCAUCACCUUCCGCUCGGCCACUUUCGGCAAAGCAGACUAUGUACAACCUCUUCUUUUUGAAGCCCUCGGCCCCUCACCACCUGUUGAAGUUGUAAGCAUUCUUAUCUUCUCUCAUUUGGUCUUCUGAUACAAUAUCAUUCCCAGUAAGUAUGUGGAAUGCUUUUGUUCAAUAUCAGAUUAGACGGGGUGCAUCGAGCGUCUAUGUACAACCGCUUCUUUUGUGUUCUCAUGUUAAUUUUAAAAUAGUUGCGCUUUUGGCAGUCGGAUAUAGCGAUGGACACAAUAGUAGUUUUUUUGUUUGUUUUUAUUCAACAGUAGUAUACUCCCGUAUAAAACCAAGAGUUGUAGUACACUGUAAUGCUAUUUUGGUUUAUGUAGGAGGGCAGCAGCUCGCAUGGAUAGAGGUCAUCCAUGGCUUGAGUGAGUAGCCCCAAAAGCAGGUGGUAUGGCAAGCCGCGGGAAGCUCAGGGCAGGGUCAGCAGCUUCAACAGCUUCAACUGCACCAAUGCAACUGUAUGUCUCUUCAGAGAUGUGUCGUUAGCUGAUGAGGUUAUCCCCACUAAAGCCAAGAAGGUCAGGCGCAACUAAAACCAGGAAGGCCAAUUGUUGUUAAGUGCUCGCCCUUUUGGACCUUAUCAUUUUGUUUGUGGAUGCGCGAAAGAAUGAUGUCUGGAUAUGGGAGUGUCUCUUUAGAUGUAGAUAUAGAUGGUACCUGAAGCAACUAAACCGCGUAUGGGGAUUUAACAUUGUCUUUGGUGGAAAAGGCCCUCAAUUCUCGGCCACUGUUCUAUUUUUGAUUUCUUGCUUGGUCGUGUAGAUGUCGUGGGUAUUGUAGUCAAGGUUUCUGAUGUACUCCUGUUCCAGCCGCAACCAUGGCAAACUGUGACACUUACUAUGAAUCAUAAAUAGUUCUCUCUAUCUCUUUAUCUCUGUAUAUGAUUUGGGCAGCAUGUGUGCAUUGACCAUUCUGAUCUCUUUGCUUUCUCAUCCCCGACAUCCAGGAUACGUAGGCGGGUAUGACAUUCCUCAAAGGCGGGUGUACCGCGUAUAUGGCCGUGUUGAAAGAGUUGUGGCCUCUAUCUCUGCCUCGAAUGUCGAUGAUGCCUCUGUGCUAUCACUCUCAUGUCCUUCUUAUUUUGUUUGUUUAGUGAAUGUUGGAUUAGACAAGAAGGCUUUAUUCACGCUGAAUCUGUACAACUAUGAACUAUUUGUGUAUUCUUUUGUUUAAGCUUUGAAAUGAGAGAAUGAAAUGUUGG